AUGUCCUGGACCCCUGUCCUGCUGGCGCUCCUGGCCCACUGCACAGGCUCCACGGCCUCCUAUGAACUGACCCAGCCGCCCUCAGUGUCAAUAGCCCUCGGAACAAGGUCAGGAUCACCUCCUCAGGAGGUAAUGUCAUGCAUAAACAUGCAUCUUGGUACCAGCAAAAGCCGGGCCAGGCCCCUGUGUUGUUCGUCUAUGACAAUAGCAACCGGCCCUCAGGGAUCCCUGACCAAUUCUCUGGCUCCAUUCAGGGAACACAACCAUCCUGAUCAUCAGCGGGGACUGGGCCGAGGACGAGGCUAUUACAGUGCCAUCUACCGUGGCGGUGGGAGCCGUGACUCAUGGUGACGUGACAGACGGGGACUCAAGGCACGAAACUGCCCACCCCAGCCACCCCAGCCUGGUGUUCACAGUCCACACCCACUCCUCCCCUGCCACCUCCACCCUGGACCAAGAAGGACCUGGGGCUGUCCUCGGGGGAACCACAGCUUCUGGGCGCCGGGCAGUGGGGCACAUGAGGCCCAGGACAGGCCAGUGGGGCUGUGAGGCCCGCAGGGGUCAGAGCUGUGUCCCCAGGCACAACUGGCCUCUAAUAGUGCUGGGCCUGGCCGUGGGCGCCCAUGGCCUGCUGCCCCUGACGCCAGCACCGCGGAGCACGGCCCCCCACGAGGAAACCCUGGCAGGAAGCAGCCCUUGGAACCCCUGGCACAGGUCCCCGCUCCGGCCUGGCCCCCGGAGGACAGGCCCCAGGUGCUGGCCCGACGGCUUUUGGUCCGAGUCUCAGUCACCAUUGUUCACCUUUGGCGGCGGGACCCAGCUCACCGUCCUAGGUCAGCCCACGUCUGCGCCCUCGGUCACUCUGUUCGCGCCCUCCACUGAGGAGCUCAAGGCCAACAAGGCCACCCUGGUGUGUCUCAUCAAUGACUUCUACCCGGGCAGCGUGAAGGUGGCCUGGAAGGCAGGCAGCACCACCAUCACCAGGGGCGUGGAGACCAGCCAGCCCUCGAAACAGAGCAACAGCAAGUACGCGGCCAGCAGCUACCUGGCCCUGACGGCCGGCGAGUGGAAAUCUUACGACAGGGUCAGCUGCCAGGUCACGCACGAGGGGAGCACUGUGGAGAAGACAGUGGCGUCCUCAGGGUGCCCUUAG
Molecule: non-coding RNA, 1153 nt
Organism: Lipotes vexillifer (Yangtze River dolphin)
Lineage: Eukaryota; Metazoa; Chordata; Mammalia; Artiodactyla; Lipotidae
Source: RefSeq, a predicted model, not a curated record